GGUGUGCUCAAAAUGCAGAUUUUGCAUCUUAGAUUUCAAAAUUUUUUUGGGGGGGGGCAUGCCCCCAAACCCCCCUAGCUGGUUCAGGUCGCUUUGCGACCCUCACCGGUGUCGGACUAGUGGAAAUUAUUCAGGACUAGUAAAUUUAAAUAAUUCCUAGUCCUGUGGACUAGUACCCUCAAAAGUUUUUGGUGCAGACUGU
Molecule: long non-coding RNA, 202 nt
Filed under: Mytilus galloprovincialis (Mediterranean mussel)
Lineage: Eukaryota; Metazoa; Mollusca; Bivalvia; Mytilida; Mytilidae
Source: RNAcentral